Long non-coding RNA from Thalassophryne amazonica, 553 nucleotides. RefSeq lists it as uncharacterized. The record is from RefSeq and is a predicted model, not a curated record. Lineage: Eukaryota; Metazoa; Chordata; Actinopteri; Batrachoidiformes; Batrachoididae. The transcript has 2 exons.
AGCCGUGGUUUGCAGCCUGCGUGUACGACCUUUGUGCUUGCGGGGCCAAUACGGAAGAGUGUCUGUGUGAUACACUGGAGGCCUACGUUAGUCAGUGCAGAGAAGCCGGAGUCAUCCUGCAGUGGAGGAGUCCAUCACUGUGUGCUGUGGGCUGUCCGGUGGAGAGAGGCUUUGUGUUUGACGAGUGCGGUCCACCAUGUCCCGUCACCUGCUUUAAUGUCGAUGUGCCACUGGGGGUGAUAGAGAGCCACUGUUUUAAACCGUGUGUUCCCGGUUGCCAGUGUCCUGCUGGUUUAGUUCUACACAACAACUACUGCAUUCAUCCAGAAAAGUGUCCCAAGAUCAUACACGACAAUGCCUCAUAAUCCAGGAACAUUUUGAGCACUUCAGCGGAUACGUAUACUGCCAAAUAAGCUGCAAUCUACCCAAGGACUACAGGAACAUUCUGGCUUGUCCUGUAGAUGCUACAUACUGUACUUAAUAAAGUGGAAUCCUUGUCUUUUUUUUGUGGACACACAGUGAUGGAUUAUAGUGGUCAUGGGCCCCUUGGCUU